GCCUCUAUAGCUCAGUGGUAGAGCACUGGUCUCGUAAACCAGGGGUCGUGAGUUCAAUCCUCAUUGGAGGCA
Molecule: transfer RNA, 72 nt
Filed under: Dreissena polymorpha
Lineage: Eukaryota; Metazoa; Mollusca; Bivalvia; Myida; Dreissenidae
Description: transfer RNA threonine (anticodon CGU)
Rfam family: tRNA
About the family: Transfer RNA (tRNA) molecules are approximately 80 nucleotides in length. Their secondary structure includes four short double-helical elements and three loops (D, anti-codon, and T loops).
Source: Rfam by way of RNAcentral